RNAcentral lists this ribosomal RNA (1301 nucleotides) under uncultured fungus. Its description in RNAcentral is "eukaryotic LSU rRNA". The stretch from base 634 to 1301 matches the Rfam family "Eukaryotic large subunit ribosomal RNA", at positions 1 to 649 of the family's 3401-position model. Lineage: Eukaryota; Fungi. The record is from RNAcentral.
AAGUCGUAACAAGGUUUCCGUAGGUGAACCUGCGGAAGGAUCAUUACUGAGCUGUCGACACGAGCUGUUGCUGGUCCUCAAACAAGGGGGCAUGUGCACGCUCUGUUCACACAUCCACUCACACCUGUGCACCCUCUGUAGUUCUAUGGUCUGGGGGACACACCCGUCUUCCUCCCGUAGCUCUACGUUUUUACACAUACACCGUAGUGAAGUUUUAUGGAAUGUGCGCCGCGUUUAACGCAAUACAAUACAACUUUCAGCAACGGAUCUCUUGGCUCUCGCAUCGAUGAAGAACGCAGCGAAAUGCGAUAAGUAAUGUGAAUUGCAGAAUUCAGUGAAUCAUCGAAUCUUUGAACGCACCUUGCGCCCCUUGGACAUUCCGAGGGGUAUGCCUGUUUGAGUAUCAUGAACACCUCAACUCCUCAUGGUUCGCCGUGAUGAGCUUGGACUUCUGGAGGUUUUGCUGGCCUGCGGGUCGGCUCCUCUCAAAUGGAUCAGCUCGCCAGUGUUUGGUGGCAUCACGGGUGUGAUAACUAUCUACGCUUGUGGCCGUCUGCCAGGUAACCUUCGGCAACGGAGGUUCGCUGGGGCUAACAAAAGUCUUUCCUUGGCGAAGACAGCUUUUUGAACGUUCGAUCUCAAAUCAGGUAGGAUUACCCGCUGAACUUAAGCAUAUCAAUAAGCGGAGGAAAAGAAACUAACAAGGAUUCCCCUAGUAACUGCGAGUGAAGCGGGAAGAGCUCAAAUUUAAAAUCUGGCGUGCCUCUGGCCGUCCGAGUUGUAGUCUGAAGAAGCGCUUUCCGUGUUGGACCGUGUAUAAGUCUCUUGGAACAGGGCGUCAUAGAGGGUGAGAAUCCCGUCUUUGACACGGACUACCAAUGCUUUGUGAUGCGCUUUCAAAGAGUCGAGUUGUUUGGGAAUGCAGCUCAAAAUGGGUGGUAAAUUCCAUCUAAAGCUAAAUAUAGGCGAGAGACCGAUAGCGAACAAGUACCGUGAGGGAAAGAUGAAAAGCACUUUGGAAAGAGAGUUAAACAGUACGUGAAAUUGCUGAAAGGGAAACGCUUGAAGUCAGUCGUGUCUGCCGGGACUCAGCCUUGCUUCUGCUUGGUGUACUUUCUGGUCGGAUGGGCCAACAUCAAUUUUGACCGUUGGAGAAAGGCUUUGGGAACGUGGCACCUUUGGGUGUGUUAUAGCCCUUUGUUGUAUACGACGGUUGGGAUUGAGGACUGCAGCACGCCUUUAUGGCCGGGGAUAUUCCCACGUACGUGCUUAGGAUGUUGGCAUAAUGGCUUUAAGCGACC